GACGAACGCUGGCGGCGUGCUUAACACAUGCAAGUCGAACGGAAAGGCCCUGCUUUUGUGGGGUGCUCGAGUGGCGAACGGGUGAGUAACACGUGAGUAACCUGCCCUUGACUUUGGGAUAACUUCAGGAAACUGGGGCUAAUACUGGAUAGGAGCUCCUGCUGCAUGGUGGGGGUUGGAAAGUUUCGGCGGUUGGGGAUGGACUCGCGGCUUAUCAGCUUGUUGGUGGGGUAGUGGCUUACCAAGGCUUUGACGGGUAGCCGGCCUGAGAGGGUGACCGGCCACAUUGGGACUGAGAUACGGCCCAGACUCCUACGGGAGGCAGCAGUGGGAAAUAUUGCACAAUGGGCGGAAGCCUGAUGCAGCGACGCCGCGUGCGGGAUGACGGCCUUCGGGUUAUAAACCGCUUUCGCCUGUGACGAAGCGUGAGUGACGGUAAUGGGUAAAGAAGCACCGGCUAACUACGUG
RNAcentral lists this ribosomal RNA (468 nucleotides) under uncultured bacterium. Its description in RNAcentral is "partial 16S ribosomal RNA". It matches the Rfam family "Bacterial small subunit ribosomal RNA", at positions 28 to 507 of the family's 1533-position model. The record is from RNAcentral.